UACAGAGGGUGCGAGCGUUAAUCGGAGUUACUGGGCGUAAAGGGCGCGUAGGCGGUUAUAUGAGUGUGAUGUGAAAGCCCCGGGCUUAACCUGGGAAGUGCAUCGCAAACGAUAUAACUGGAGUAGAUGAGAGGGUGGCGGAAUUUCCGGUGUAGCGGUGAAAUGCGUAGAGAUCGGAAGGAACGUCGAUGGCGAAGGCAGCCACCUGGCAUCAUACUGACGCUGAGGCGCGAAAGCGUGGGGAGCGAACAGG
RNAcentral lists this ribosomal RNA (253 nucleotides) under uncultured bacterium. RNAcentral's name for it is "partial 16S ribosomal RNA". It matches the Rfam family "Bacterial small subunit ribosomal RNA", at positions 524 to 776 of the family's 1533-position model. The record is from RNAcentral.